This 389-nucleotide long non-coding RNA is filed under the name Mytilus galloprovincialis (Mediterranean mussel). The record is from RNAcentral. Lineage: Eukaryota; Metazoa; Mollusca; Bivalvia; Mytilida; Mytilidae.
CCCAUAUGUUACACCACAUAUAAGGUUAUAAAUUCUUCAGCUUCAGGUUAUACAUGUACCAUAUCUAUAGCACUAAAAACACAUCCACGCAAUCUCGUUUGUUCUAUAUAAAAUAUCUUGUUUCUCAAGAAUAUUAAAUUAAAUUCAGAUCACAUCUAAAAUCUUCUAAUAUUUCUCAAACCAUAUCAUGCAAUCAUGAAAUCAAAUCUGCGUUUUUUUCUUUUCUUCUUUGCAUUUAAAACUCGUAAAACUACAUACUGCUCAAGUAAACAAUAGCUAGCUAGAAUUCUAUAGUGCACAAGUCUUUAAAAGCCUGAAAUCCAAUCCUGUUGCGAACAGACGGAGUAAUUGUAGGGUUAUAUAUACAAUGACAUUUACGUAGAUUUCAC